Molecule: microRNA, 23 nt
Filed under: Bombyx mori (domestic silkworm)
Lineage: Eukaryota; Metazoa; Arthropoda; Insecta; Lepidoptera; Bombycidae
Description: bmo-miR-3389-5p
Source: miRBase by way of RNAcentral
UCGUAGCCGAUGUUCCACAGCAG